RNAcentral lists this ribosomal RNA (484 nucleotides) under uncultured bacterium. RNAcentral describes it as "bacterial SSU rRNA". It matches the Rfam family "Bacterial small subunit ribosomal RNA", at positions 29 to 524 of the family's 1533-position model. The record is from RNAcentral.
AUUGAACGCUGGCGGCAUGCCUUACACAUGCAAGUCGAACGGCAGCACGGGGCAACCUGGUGGCGAGUGGCGAACGGGUGAGUAAUGCAUCGGAACGUGCCAUUGAGUGGGGGAUAACGUAGCGAAAGUUGCGCUAAUACCGCAUAUUCUGUGAGCAGGAAAGCAGGGGGACCGCAAGGCCUUGCGCUCUUUGAGCGGCCGAUGUCAGAUUAGCUAGUUGGUGAGGUAACGGCUUACCAAGGCGACGAUCUGUAGCGGGUCUGAGAGGAUGAUCCGCCACACUGGAACUGAGACACGGUCCAGACUCCUACGGGAGGCAGCAGUGGGGAAUUUUGGACAAUGGGCGCAAGCCUGAUCCAGCCAUGCCGCGUGAGUGAAGAAGGCCUUCGGGUUGUAAAGCUCUGUCGGGAGGGAAGGAAGGCGCAAGCCUGACGGUACCUCGCAAGAAAGCACCGGCUAACUCUGUGCCAGCAGCCGCGGUAAU